CACAGGCUUCUGAAAAAGAAACUCAUAUGGUUUCUUGGAAAUCAAGUCUUCUUACAUGGACAUGUUUUGAAGCAUCGCUGAUCACAAGAUCAUCUGGCAUUGAAGAUCGUGUUUGCCAUGUGACCUCUGAUCAAGUCAGUGUCACGAUCUGUGCCAGAUACCUCCCAGUUACCUUCCAAAGGAAGAGGAGACCAGCCACUUUCUGAGUGAGAGUAAUUGGCCCUAGAGGGUCAUUGAUGACUUCCUCAAGACCUUUAUUAAUUACUACUUUGGCAAAAAAAUUCUGCCUGAAGCUCAGUGUUCAUAUCACACAGCAGUAGCAUUGCAUCAUCACAAGGACAAGGAAGUGCCUUCACCCCUCAGGAGACUCACGCAGUGUUUCCUGGGCUACUCUGUCCAGAGCUGGAGCCUCAGUAAUAGGGACCCUUCUUGCCUGUUGCUCUGAUGUGUACCUUCCAAGUUCAGUUCACAGCCUAUGCCUGCUGCUGAUUCUACAUACUCAGGGAGGAGCACCCUGACCUGCCAACUUCCCUCAAGCAGGCUUUCUGUACAUUUGUCAUGCUACUUCCAGUUAGCCAGAAUGUGAACACCUUUAAGGAAUUAACAAAGUUGAGUAGAAAAACAUACUCUUCACUCUAGCUAGAAAUAAGGCUUCUAUUACUGUAACAAAGGGUGGAUUUGUGAAAUACAUAUCUAGCACUCUCUGCCCAACACUCACCAGGACUCAGCUCAAAUGUCCUCUUUUUUUUCAGUUUUCAGAGGAUACCUCUGUCCAUGUUGUUGAUAGAAAUCCUUCCCUACCCAUGCUCUCUAACACAACUUGCUUAGUCUUAUAGUCUCUCCCCAUGACCAAACAAAGACCCUAGGGUGCUGUUCUCUUUCUGUUUUGCUGUUUGAGAGGGCUGUGGAGCCAGACCAGAGCCAUGACAGGUCUCUGAUAGCCCUGCAGGGACCAGGCCUUCGUUUCUGUUUACUAGAACUGGCUGGAGCUGGGCAAGCAGUUUUCGGGAAGACCAUAACUCAGGGACAAUCAAUCAGCAGGCGCCCCCCAGCCGUUUGCUAGCUAAAGAUAGCUUUUCCUACCCUGUAGCUAGAAGGUCCCUAACCACUAGAGCCUCCCACCAAUCAGCCCCCAGACUAAUUUUUCCUCCACCAAUCAGCACAGAUUAAUCCCUCCUCCCUGGAAUUCCCCUAAUUCUGCUUAGAAAGAGCUUGUGACCUUCCUUUGGGGUUGCUACUUGCCACCUCAAACCUGUUGUUGCUAAAUUGCAUACGUGACUGUUGGUCUUUGUUGGGGGCUUCUCUCGGUCCUAACACUGCUAUUUCUCCCAGGCUUCACUGUGGCUAGCACACAGUGGGGACUUACUGAAUAUAUAGUUAGUCAAACUGUGAAUGAGGAAACCAAAUGGGCAUUGUGACUAAGCAUAAGGUCUCUGAGGCACACAGUCUUUCGCUACUCCUAAUUCAAAAUCUGAUCUUGGGCAAGUGACUUACUAUAUCUCAGUUUUGACUUCAUUAUUUACAAAAAAGGGAGUAAUGGGGAGUGCAUAAGACCAUAAUACAUUGUAUACAUACAUGACAUUCACAAAAAAUAAGUAAGAAGUAUUGUAAAGUAGAGGGGUUGAGGAGCAUUGAAGGAGUUAAUACCUGGCUGUGCUUACUUCUUUGACUGUGGGAGAGCAAACACUCAAUAAAUGUUAGCUUUCACAAAU
Peromyscus eremicus (cactus mouse) is the source of this 1712-nucleotide long non-coding RNA. RefSeq lists it as uncharacterized. The transcript is spliced from 2 exons. The record is from RefSeq and is a predicted model, not a curated record. Lineage: Eukaryota; Metazoa; Chordata; Mammalia; Rodentia; Cricetidae.